Long non-coding RNA from Chroicocephalus ridibundus (black-headed gull), 1158 nucleotides. RefSeq lists it as uncharacterized. The record is from RefSeq and is a predicted model, not a curated record. The transcript has 3 exons. Lineage: Eukaryota; Metazoa; Chordata; Aves; Charadriiformes; Laridae.
AGUGAUGUAUCUUCGGGACCCACAAUCACUCAAAACAUCUUGGUGACAGGAUGGCAAAGCCAAGUAGCUCCAAGUGCUGGAGGGUGAAGGCACUUUAAGCACAGAUCACUGGCUGCUACGGCCCUAACACAGGGUGAAAUAAGGUGGAGCAUGAAGCUGGGGGCCAGAGUAACCCCGUGAUGCUGGCAGCAGGAGACGCUACUUGCUUGCUUCUCCCACUGCUGAAGACCACACAGCAGUCCUUGCACCAGCCUUGAGGAGUCCUCUGCGUGGGAGCUCUGCUCUGCAGGAGCCGAGCUUUCUUAAGACUGAAAAAAAUGGAGGAGGGGUGUGUGAAAUCAAACCAUAAACGAGCUCGGAGCAGUGGCACCCUGUGACCUGGCUGGCAAAUGGAGUAGCGUAAGUGUAACGCGCACGCUGACGGUGAGAGAGAGAAUUAUCACAGAGCUGAGGAGACACCUGGAUCAGAGCUUCAAAAGUCACUGCUUUUUUGUUCCUGUUCUGAAACCACGUGUCACAGACGUGCUGGAAUACCAGCACACACGGAAGCAUAGCUGUCGCUCUUUUGUAGCACCCUUGCCUUGGCGCUCUGCAUGCCAGAAAAGGAAAUGCCCGGCCUCUUCUUCUAGAUGAUCUUGUACAGAGGGAGCCAUCUUGGAUCAGUUGGAAUUAGUGUGAUAUGUUAUCACUCCUAUCAGAUAAUGGGUACCUGUAUCUGUUUCUGUAGGAAUACAGGUUUUCAGUGGACUUUGCUCUGAGUUCCUCUCAGGUUUGUAUGGAUCCUCCCUCCAGACACUGCCAGAUUAUGAGUCUAUAUAGUUUUCAGGGGAAUGUUUGCCAUUCUUUAUGCUGCCAUGCUUCCUUCCAGCUCUGUAUCUUGCUUUGAAAUUCUCACCUUCUAGGCCAGAUAGCGAAAGGCUGUUUAGUACUGGUCACUGAGGAGUUUGAAUUGUCAAGGUGUUCUUUGAUGAAUUCUGGUAGAGAUUAAACAGGUGUAAUGGCUGGGUUACCAAGUGCUCAACAAGGUGAUUUGCUGCAACAGGCACAUAGUCCCUUUCCUCCAUCCAUGUUAUACCAAUGUGCAACCCCACCUUAUACUGUGCUCCUCAAUGACCACCUCACAGGCAAUACCAUGGAUGAGAAAUGAAGCAAUGAAGA